This is a non-coding RNA of Sus scrofa (pig), 2891 nucleotides long. The record is from RefSeq and is a predicted model, not a curated record. NCBI's taxonomy places the organism in Eukaryota, Metazoa, Chordata, Mammalia, Artiodactyla, Suidae.
CGUGGCUCUGGGUGGAUUUUAGAAAAGAGUAAGAGGUUCACUCGGUAAAAGUUUAUAUGGAUGAUAAGAAAAGCACGGACAGAGGUAGAAGUGGCUGUGGGGACUUAGAGAGAUUUAGAUUUAGAUGCACUGAAUAGGUGGGACUUGAACUGCCUGUGAAAAUUAGAAACAACUAACUUAAUCAGCAGUGAAGUUGCCCUCUAAAAAUUAAACUGUUAAAUGAGCAAAGGUUGUUACUAUUAAGAGGCAAAAUAGCUCCUGGAUCAUGUCAACCUUGUCUAAGAAUUAUCUACAGAAAGAAAAUGACAAUCUGAAGCAGAGAUAGAUAGGUCAGCUAUGAAACCACAGACAAAGGCAAGUCUCAGAGGCACCUUCUGCUCCUGUCCAGGAAAGGGACAUCCUGGCAUUGUCAAGCUGCUCGGAGUGUCUGUUCUUUUCGGCAGGUAGAUGGAGAUGGAUGUGUGCUGCCAUUGGAGCCUGAUGAGUCUAAGCAUUUGAAACAAGCAUCGUGCUCACCAAGCAACCUUCUGUUAAUGUGGCUCCCUCUGUAGCUUGCCUGCAGGGCAGGAAUUCACUGGUCAGACUGAUGCAAAUGUCUGGUCCAGUUAACGGUAAUAUUUUUCAUUGUAAAUUAAUACAGUGGCUUUCCCAUUUAUAUGCUUCAGUCUUUUGUGAGUCGGUACAAGUCAUCCCCUCUGAAUAAUCAGCUCUGGGCAUUAACCAGACCAAAUGCUGGGACCUGCAUUGCUGAGGUCUGGACUCCAGCUGUGAUGAAUUCACCCUGAAAUGUUACCCUGCAAGGUCUCUUGGCAGCUGGCCUUCUCCUGGGACAUAGUGACCUUGAAGUACCUGACAUCUGAAAUGUCGACAUAUGCAUUCCAACACUGGCUCUCCUGGGAACAGUCACUGCUGGGGCAUAUGUGCAGGGAGUUGUAAGAUGUGAUUAAUUGAAUAUUGAAGAAAUGUCUCUACUGGUGGGAAAAGAAUUUUAAUUAUGUAUACUAUAGACAUACUCUUUAAAUAUGAUAAUAGCUAAUAUUUAUUGAUUUAUUGAGCAUGAAGUGACAAACAUUAUUCUAUGCAUUUUAAAUAGGAUUUAAGUUCUAUAUUUAUUCCCAUUUUAGAGACUGUAGAAGCAGAAGGUAUGACUGAUUAAAUCAUUUGCUUAGGGUCAUAUCAGUAGCAAAUGAUGGGAUAGUGAUUUGAACUCAGACUUAUUACCCCCAAAGUUAAGAGAAUGUACUCUGGAGUCAGAUUUGUCCUAGCUGGAAACUCAACUUUACCACUUAAUACAGUUUUGACCUUGGAUAAAACACUAACUACCCCCCCAACCUGCUCCCCGCCCCAAUCAGUCUUGUCUCUAAAUGCUUAACACGUAGGGUUGUAAUAAAGCACAAAAGGAAUUAUAAAAAUAAAGUACUUAGCAAUGUAAAGUGCUUUGUGAUGCAUCUUGUGCAGAGUAAGCUCAAGAAAGGUUAUCUGUUAAUGCGACAGAGUGUCAAAAAUAUUUAAUAUGUGAAAAGUAAUACCACAUACCCAGAUCAGUGUCUGGGUCUAAUUUGUCAUGAGUAUCCAUCCUUCUCACUCCAGACAAACACCUCUGAUAUUUCAUAAUACAACUUAAUUUAUUAUAUAAGCCUCACUCUAAAACUUCAGGUCAGGUUUUAAAAAUCUGUAGACAGAGAUAAACAGACAAAAUAAGGCCCAAAAGAAUAUCAAAAGGAAACAAAAUGUGGUACGCAUGUAUUUCUAUAACUGAUUUGAAUUGCACAGCUCAUCUGGCUCUAAGCUCCUGAGAAGCCAAGCCAAAGGGGUAAGGUGGUGAGUUUAAGGCUCACAGUCCCCAUAAGAUGAAAAUGAACCUCUUUUUCCAUAGUUUUGAAGACUGAGAGAACUUACCCACAAGGGUCCUCAUAAAGGUGGUAUUUUGUAAAGUAGCUUCAUUGUCAACCAUCUAAUCCCCUACCAUGCUUAUAGUAAUAAACCUCAAUAGUUUUAAAAUAGCAACAUCACAUUUCAAGAACCUAAAAUAAAAAUUUAAAAACUAACUAAAAAUAAUGUGGCAGAGUUCCCAGUGUGGCACAGUGGGUUAAUGACCCAGCUUGUGUCUAUGGAAGUGCAGGUUCAAUCCAUGGCCCAGCAAAAUGGGUUAAGGAUCCAGUACUGCUAAAGCUGUGGCUGAGGUCACAUAUCCUGACUUUGAUUCAAUCCCUGACGUAGGAACUUCCAUAUGCCAUGGUGCCAGCCAAAAGUGAAAAAAAAAAAAAAAAAGAAACUAAAUUAAAUUAAAAUUAAAAAAAUAAAGCACACACUCAAAUGCAUGGCUUUCCUAUUUGCCUGAAACUGGACUGCCUCAUGAUCAUGGGUCCAUGCCCACAGUCUGCACCUUCAGAUCCCCCAAAGCCUGCUGUAGUGUCCUGUCCUUGUACAGAUAUCCCUCUGCAAAAUGCCAGGCUACACUUUUCCUCUCAUCAGCUUUAUUCCAGAGACCUGUGCUUUUUUUCUGUUUUAUUUUCAGUUAUAUUUUCCAUUUCUCUGGCAAUGCAGAGAAGAGGUCAAAGUCGUUCAUCUGGAACUAGGAGGAAGAAAAAAAAGAAAAGAAAAUCUCCACCAAACAGCAAGCUUACUAUUCCAAAUAGUAAAUGGAUGGGAGAGAGCAAGUGCCUCUGGAACUGGAAAACCCGGCUUCAGACAAUAAAUCAAAAGCACUUAAAACUGUAUGCCUGUUCACAACCCCAGAAAGACCAGAAGCGCCAGGGCCAGACUAGCGUGGAAAGGUCAUUCUCAUACUGUUUUCUGCAGUCUCAAGGGAUGAGGAAACUGAGGGUCAGAGGGGUUCGUUUGAGGUCUCAGAGACAGAGGCACAUCUGUACCUAAAAUCCGGAGGCCAG